Otolemur garnettii (small-eared galago) is the source of this 125-nucleotide small nucleolar RNA. NCBI's taxonomy places the organism in Eukaryota, Metazoa, Chordata, Mammalia, Primates, Galagidae. The record is from Ensembl.
GUGCACAUUUCGUUGACCUGCUUUCUUUAUAUGUGAGCAGUGUUAUUUCUUAUUAUACCAAUAGUGGAAGGUUAAUUAGCAGUAUAAGUAUACAUAGUAAGGCUGCCAGUUUCCUUCAGACAAAG